UGCAAAGCCUAAACCUGCUGC
RNAcentral lists this non-coding RNA (21 nucleotides) under Arabidopsis thaliana (thale cress). The record is from RNAcentral. Lineage: Eukaryota; Viridiplantae; Streptophyta; Magnoliopsida; Brassicales; Brassicaceae.